This 2164-nucleotide ribosomal RNA is filed under the name Clostridioides difficile. RNAcentral describes it as "bacterial LSU rRNA". It matches the Rfam family "Bacterial large subunit ribosomal RNA", at positions 3 to 2190 of the family's 2925-position model. The record is from RNAcentral. Lineage: Bacteria; Bacillati; Bacillota; Clostridia; Peptostreptococcales; Peptostreptococcaceae.
UCAAGUUAUUAAGGGUGCAGGGCGGAUGCCUUGGCACUAGGAGCCGAUGAAGGACGUGAUAAGCUGCGAUAAGCUUCGGGGAGUUGCACGUAAACUUUGAUCCGAAGAUUUCCGAAUGAGGAAACUCACUUAGAGUAAUGUCUAAGUAUCAUUAAGUGAAUACAUAGCUUAAUGAGGGGAACUCAGGGAACUGAAACAUCUAAGUACCUGAAGGAAGAGAAAGAAAUUCGAUUCCGUAAGUAGCGGCGAGCGAACGCGGAUUAGCCCAAACCAAUAAAGUUUUCUUUAUUGGGGUUGCGGACAUAUCAUAACGAAGAGGUAUCGUAAUUGAAGAGGUUUGGAAAGACCCACCACAGAAGGUAAUAGUCCUGUAUGUUAAACGAGAAGACUUCAGAUAUGAUCCAGAGUACCACGGGACACGUGAAACCCUGUGGGAAGCAGGAGGGACCACCCUCCAAGGCUAAAUACUACCUAGUGACCGAUAGCGUAUAGUACCGUGAGGGAAAGGUGAAAAGAACCCCGGGAGGGGAGUGAAAUAGAACCUGAAACCCUGCACUUACAAGCUGUGGAAGCACAUUUCUUGUGUGACCGCGUACUUUUUGUAGAACGGGCCAACGAGUUACGUUAAGUAGCAAGGUUAAGCACUUAAGGUGCGGAGCCGUAGCGAAAGCGAGUUUUAACUGAGCGUUCAGUUACUUGACGUAGACCCGAAACCGGGCGACCUACCCAUGAGCAGGAUGAAGCGAAAGUAAAAUUUCGUGGAGGUCCGAACCCACGAGCGUUGAAAAGCUCGGGGAUGACUUGUGGGUAGCGGUGAAAUUCCAAUCGAGCCCGGAGAUAGCUGGUUCUCCCCGAAAUAGCUUUAGGGCUAGCCUCAAGGUGAGAGAUACGGAGGUAGAGCACUGAAUGUCCUAGGGGGUAUUGCACCUACCGAAGACUAUCAAACUCCGAAUGCCGUCAUCUUAUACUUGGGAGUCAGACUGUGGGUGAUAAGAUUCAUAGUCGAAAGGGCAACAGCCCAGAUCGUCAGCUAAGGUCCCUAAAUGUAAGUUAAGUGGUAAAGGAUGUGGGAUUGCACAGACAACCAGGAUGUUGGCUUAGAAGCAGCCACUCAUUCAAAGAGUGCGUAAUAGCUCACUGGUCGAGUGAUCCUGCGCCGAAGAUUUCCGGGGCUAAAACUUACUACCGAAGCUACGGCAUCAGUAAUGAUGGGUAGGGGAGCUUCCCAUACGGGUUGAAGCAUGACCGUAAGGACAUGUGGACAGUAUGGGAGUGAGAAUGUUGGCAUGAGUAGCGAGAUGUGGGUGAGAAUCCCACAGGCCGUAAACCCAAGGUUUCCAGGGGAAGGUUCGUCCGCCCUGGGUUAGUCGGGACCUAAGCUGAGGCCGAAAGGCGUAGGUGAUGGACAACAGGUUGAUAUUCCUGUACUACCGAUAACCGUUUGAGAGAAGGGAUGACACAGUAGGAUAAGCUAAGCACACUGUUGGUUAUGUGUGCCCAAGCAUUGAGGCAGUCAAAGCAGGCAAAUCCGCUUUGAUAAUGCUGGGAUGUGAUGGGGAGCGAAAUUUAGUAGCGAAGUAGCUGAUUUCACACUGUCAAGAAAAGUCUCUAUCGAGGUUAAAGGUACCCGUACCGCAAACCGACACAGGUGGGUGAGGAGAGUAUCCUAAGGCCAGCGAGAGAACUGUUGUUAAGGAACUCGGCAAAAUGACCCCGUAACUUAGGGAUAAGGGGUGCCACCAUCCGGUGGCCGCAGAGAAUAGGCCCAAGCGACUGUUUACCAAAAACAUAGGUUUCUGCUAAGUCGCAAGACGAUGUAUAGGAGCUGACGCCUGCCCGGUGCUGGAAGGUUAAGGGGAUCUGUUAGAGCAAUCGAAGCAGUGAACUUAAGCCCCAGUAAACGGCGGCCGUAACUAUAACGGUCCUAAGGUAGCGAAAUUCCUUGUCGGGUAAGUUCCGACCCGCACGAAAGGCGUAACGAUUUGGGCACUGUCUCAACAACAGACUCGGUGAAAUUGUAAUUCCGGUGAAGAUGCCGGAUACCUGCGACAGGACGGAAAGACCCCAUGGAGCUUUACUGUAGCUUGACAUUGGGUCUUGGUACUACAUGUACAGGAUAGGUGGGAGGCUUUGAAACCAGGACGCCAGUUUUGGCGGAGCCAUC